UGUUUGUAUAGUGUAUGGAUAUAAUGCAGUGUGUUUGUGUAGUGUGUUUAUAUAAUGCACACUACACAAACACACUGCAUUAUAUACACACACUAUGCAAAC
RNAcentral lists this microRNA precursor (102 nucleotides) under Pelobates cultripes (western spadefoot toad). The record is from RNAcentral. Lineage: Eukaryota; Metazoa; Chordata; Amphibia; Anura; Pelobatidae.